Molecule: ribosomal RNA, 253 nt
Filed under: uncultured bacterium
Lineage: Bacteria
Description: partial 16S ribosomal RNA
Rfam family: Bacterial small subunit ribosomal RNA
Source: RNAcentral
UACGAAGGGGGCUAGCGUUGCUCGGAAUCACUGGGCGUAAAGGGUGCGUAGGCGGGUCUUUAAGUCAGGGGUGAAAUCCUGGAGCUCAACUCCAGAACUGCCUUUGAUACUGAGGAUCUUGAGUUCGGGAGAGGUGAGUGGAACUGCGAGUGUAGAGGUGAAAUUCGUAGAUAUUCGCAAGAACACCAGUGGCGAAGGCGGCUCACUGGCCCGAUACUGACGCUGAGGCACGAAAGCCAGGGGAGUGAACGGG